Molecule: ribosomal RNA, 519 nt
Filed under: uncultured eukaryote
Lineage: Eukaryota
Description: SSU rRNA
Rfam family: Eukaryotic small subunit ribosomal RNA
Source: RNAcentral
AGGGCACCACCAGGAGUGGAGCCUGCGGCUUAAUUUGACUCAACACGGGGAAACUCACCCGGCCCGGACACCGUAAGGAUUGACAGAUUGAUAGCUUUUUCAUGAUUCGGUGGAUGGUGGUGCAUGGCCGUUCUUAGUUCGUGGAGCGAUUUGUCUGGUUUAUUCCGAUAACGAGCGAGACUCUAGCCUACUAAAUAGCUCGCACAUUGUCAACUUGUGUGCGCCUACUUCUUAGAGGGAUUUUCGGUGUUCAGCCGCACGAGAUUGAGCAAUAACAGGUCUGUGAUGCCCUUAGAUGUCCGGGGCUGCACGCGCGCUACACUGGCGAAAUCAGCGUGCUUAUCCUUUCUCGAAAGGGAUUGGUAAACCAUUGAAAAUUUGCCGUGAUUGGGAUCGGAAAUUGCAAUUAUUUUCCGUGAACGAGGAAUUCCAAGUAAGUGCGAGUCAUCAACUCGCGUUGAUUACGUCCCUGCCCUUUGUACACACCGCCCGUCGCUACCCGGGACUGAGCCAUUUCGA